GCCCGAUCUUUCUCCUUGAUCUUCUUCUUUUCCUCUUCUCUAGAGUUUCUUCUUACUUUGUGCUACUACAAAAUACCAGCAAUCAGUAAAUUAUGGGAUGCCCAAUACCUUGAGCGUGGAACUCCUUGGGACUCGCAUCCCAAGGGAUGGGCAUGUAGAAUACCCAAGAGAAGAGAAAGGGAGAGGAAGAGAGGGCAUGGGGAGAGCCUUUGGGCAUGAGAAACUACUCAUUUUUAUACUCU
This 242-nucleotide long non-coding RNA is filed under the name Elaeis guineensis (African oil palm). RNAcentral describes it as "long non-coding RNA (EGUI_LNC039988)". The record is from RNAcentral. Lineage: Eukaryota; Viridiplantae; Streptophyta; Magnoliopsida; Arecales; Arecaceae.